UGUUGGAAGUAAUUGUAUCUAUGUCAAUGUUAAUUUUGUAACUGGUCUUCAAACAUUUCUGUUUUAAAUUCCAAGAAAUAAAACACAAGAUGGACAUUCUAGAGACCAAUCCCUCUAUAUGAAAGAAGCAAGUCGGCUGAUGUGAAUUUAUAUUCCAUUGACCUUUGAUCUUCAUAGCCACAUGAUAGCAUCAAAUCACAAGAUUAACAUAUUUGAAAGUCCUACCAAGAUUUGAAGUUGAUCCUGCCUGAAUUUCCUACUAAAGUGAUCCCAGAUGUGUGAUAUUCACAGGAGCUAGUUGAGUUCCAGUUUGAACUCAAG
This 321-nucleotide long non-coding RNA is filed under the name Monodelphis domestica (gray short-tailed opossum). RNAcentral describes it as "lncRNA (ENSMODG00000045570.1)". The record is from RNAcentral. Lineage: Eukaryota; Metazoa; Chordata; Mammalia; Didelphimorphia; Didelphidae.